GCGCUCUCUCUCUCUCUCUCUCUCUCUCUCUCUCUCUCUCCCUCGAUAUCUUCCAUUGGUUUUGAUGAUGUAAGAGGAAGACGUUUGUCGGCCGGAAGCGCGUGCUGAGCAUGGUUUCCGGUGACGUCACGGAACGCAGCUUUUUUUUUCUCUUCCGCUUACAUAGCUAACAGGUAUACUUAUAAACGGUUGGCAAAGGUCGUGGCGAAUCCUUUAGCCGUACCAUUGGCCGUUAUUUCCGUCUUGCCGCGCUCCGAUUGGUCGACGAUGCGUGCACGAGACCAAGGCGGCGUAGACACGUAUGGGGUGGCGGUACAGAAGGCAGAUCAAAGUAAGUGCAGCGGCUCUUUAUACGCGUUACGUGACGUCACUGGAGUGUUUUGCAUUAUUUAGGAUGAACGCUUAGCCGGGCAAGUGUCGGUCGGACCACACGGCCGACUGUCGGCGAGGCGCAGGUCGGUCGGGUCCUGCAAUAAUCGUCGUCUGUUAGGCCUAGCUUCGUAUCGAUUCCGGAUAGGGUAGGAUGACGUCAGCGGUGACGUGGAAGGCAGUCCGAACCGGAAGUCGACGACUGCGACCCCCUCCACACGCGGGUUGCUGUAUAAGAGACCACGUCCGAAUUUCGCCAACAUGGACAACUACUUCCCGAAAUGCCGAUGUCGACUUAUUCUCGUUACCUAGUUGUAUCUCCAUGAAGGACGUUAUAGAGCCGAAUUUUACGUAUUAUUUCGUUAUAUCGAAGAAUAGAUGUUAACUUUUCUGUUACCAUAAACACUCAAAAGUUUUAAGUCAGUAAAAAAAAAAAAAUGCAAAGCGAACAAAUGCGACGCGCUACGCGUAACUCUUAUAUAGAUUAUUCAGUUUUCGUUGCGAUAAGUGAGAUAGUUACAAAUUGCGGAUUUUUUUUCCUACGUUUUACACGCGAUUAUGUUUCGAAAUGCAUUUCGCACAAAGGGAAAAUAAAAAAAAAAAUAAAUGAGCUUUUAAAUCAAUAGCUUCACUUCCCUCGUUGACUAUAAUAGCGUUAUUUGAGACAAAGAGGUCUUAAUUAAGUUCUAAAGACUUAUUUAGGAAGGACGAUUAGUUUUAUUGAUAGUUUUGUCAAUUUCAAUCGUUCUACUUAGUCGCGAGUUGUUUUUGGUACCGUAUUUUCUUAUCAAUCCAGAACCGAAAUAUACGGUUGAUGUUUUCCCUUUUUGUCUCUCUCAUUUUUUUAAUCUGGAACUAGCGAAAUCCGAACGGUCUAGCUGUCAUCAUCUCGCAGGUUGACAUUUUUCUUUUUCCUCCACUCUCUCUCUCUCUCUCUUCUUUCUUUCUCUUCCACCAUUCUGCAGUUCUUUCUUGCAACCCCUUCUCGGAAAGCGUUAAAAUAAGAUUUUUCGAGUUUAGUUAAACAGUAGCGUGUUAAAGCGAACAGAAGCGAAACAGGAAACGAGAAGCGUAUAAAAAUUUAUAGAGAGAACCCCCAACUGUUAAUGGGAAAAUUGUAACAGGCAGUUUAAUCUUACCAAAACUUCCUUUCGACAUUUAAAAUGAUUAGGAAUUAAAGAAAGGGGUGCUAAUUAAAGUUAAUUGUUAUCGUCCUGUGUGUGCGUAUAUUCUGAAUCAUUUGUUUUCGGAUUCGAAACAAUAAAUCUGGCAUUUCCAUAUCGGAUAUUUAAUUAGUUAUAUUGUCCGUUGUGCAAACUGUACCUCGUCACUAACAAUUAAAACUUGUCACGUAACCGAUUUUAAGUGUCCAUUUUUUCGAUUUUUAUCCGUUUUUCGUAACAAAAACAGUUGGUGGAAAAUAUUACAAGAGGAAGGAACCGGAACAGUGCACGAACGUGGUAAAGGGAGAACAGAAGGUUUCAGGAAAAGAGAAGAGAGGCGAUAUUUAUUAUAGGAUUGACUUUUGUGGUAUAGACACACAGGUUACUCGCUCUACUUGUUUCUCCUUUUUUUUUUUUUUUUUUUGUUGUGUGUAUGUGUGUGUUUUUAGCGAGGUAAGGCUCCAUUAAAACAAGAGCAAAAAAAAAAAGAAUUGCAAACGUUAAAUAGUUAAAAUAUUUAACGUUUAAUAUGUUCGGAAUUGUUGUCUGGAAGAAAUUAGCGAUAGAAUAAGAAGAAGAAGCAGCGAAUGCAAAACCGAAAUUGUGAACACGUGACGAUGAAAGUGCAUCGAUCUCUUUCCUUGGUUGUACAUCGAGUUCAGUCGUGAUUGCCUAGCAUCACGUGUAAAUUCCGUCCAAGUUGCAUUCGUCGUUGAUUACUGCUAAUCGUAGCUAUAGAUAAGUUUGCUAGACGUGUCUUAAUCAACAAAUGACGAAUUACGACCGUUACACCCUUCCCCGAAACUUUCUGAAUUAUUUAAACAUUCGGUAAAAAUGUAUCCCGAAGUCGCCGUUAAUGAAGUUAAAACGUACAACCGUGAUUUUCUUGGAACAUAAAGAUGUUUACCGGCGUUAUUUAUGGAAACAUAAAUAUCCACGCGGUUUUAAAUUAAAUAAAAAUAAAAAAAUACCCGCUUUAAACGUGCACUUAUCUCACUUAUAACGGACGAUAGAAUAUUUUAUUGUGCACAGCCGGAUUGUUUAGAUAAUUCGCCAUUAGUUAACUGCAGUUUUCUCGAGUGUAAAUAUUAAAAAAAUAAAAAAUAUUACUAAAACCGGUAAUUCAAUUUUUGUGCUUUACUAGUUUAAUACGAU
RNAcentral lists this long non-coding RNA (2687 nucleotides) under Androctonus crassicauda. Lineage: Eukaryota; Metazoa; Arthropoda; Arachnida; Scorpiones; Buthidae. The record is from RNAcentral.